ACUCCUACGGGAGGCAGCAGUAGGGAAUCUUCGGCAAUGGGGGCAACCCUGACCGAGCAACGCCGCGUGAGUGAAGAAGGUUUUCGGAUCGUAAAGCUCUGUUGUAAGAGAAGAACGAGUGUGAGAGUGGAAAGUUCACACUGUGACGGUAGCUUACCAGAAAGGGACGGCUAACUACGUGCCAGCAGCCGCGGUAAUAC
RNAcentral lists this ribosomal RNA (200 nucleotides) under uncultured Streptococcus sp. Its description in RNAcentral is "partial 16S ribosomal RNA". It matches the Rfam family "Bacterial small subunit ribosomal RNA", at positions 335 to 526 of the family's 1533-position model. Lineage: Bacteria; Bacillati; Bacillota; Bacilli; Lactobacillales; Streptococcaceae. The record is from RNAcentral.